UACGGAGGAUGCGAGCGUUAUCCGGAUUUAUUGGGUUUAAAGGGUGCGUAGGCGGACUGUCAAGUCAGCGGUAAAAUUGAGAGGCUCAACCUCUUCCCGCCGUUGAAACUGGUGGUCUUGAGUGGAUGAGAAGUACGCGGAAUGCGUGGUGUAGCGGUGAAAUGCAUAGAUAUCACGCAGAACUCCGAUUGCGAAGGCAGCGUACCGGCAUCCAACUGACGCUGAGGUACGAAAGCGUGGGGAGCAGACAGG
Molecule: ribosomal RNA, 252 nt
Filed under: uncultured bacterium
Lineage: Bacteria
Description: partial 16S ribosomal RNA
Rfam family: Bacterial small subunit ribosomal RNA
Source: RNAcentral